RNAcentral lists this ribosomal RNA (872 nucleotides) under uncultured Neocallimastigales. RNAcentral describes it as "partial large subunit ribosomal RNA". It matches the Rfam family "Eukaryotic large subunit ribosomal RNA", at positions 1 to 647 of the family's 3401-position model. The record is from RNAcentral. Lineage: Eukaryota; Fungi; Neocallimastigomycota; Neocallimastigomycetes; Neocallimastigales.
GUACACGCUGUGACUAGCAUAUCAAUAAGCGGAGGAAAAGCGUAUUAAAGAUCAGGUACCUACGCUUAGGAUGUUGACGAGACUGUCGAUCUCAUCUAUACACGCUGUGACUAGCAUAUCAAUAAGCGGAGGAAAAGAAACUAACAAGGAUUCCCCUAGUAACGGCGAGUGAAGCGGGAAGAGCUCAAAUUUGAAAUCUUAAAGGGUUUCCCUUUACGAAUUGUAGUUUAAAGAAGUGUUUUCUGUUGAGGUUUUGGUAAAAGUUCUUUGGAAUAGGACAUCAUAGAGGGUGAGAAUCCCGUAUUUGACCUUUACUUUCAACUUUGUGAUACACUUUCAAAGAGUCGGAUUGUUUGGGAAUGCAGUCCAAAAUGGGUGGUAAAUUUCAUCUAAAGCUAAAUAUUGGCGAGAGACCGAUAGCGAACAAGUACCGUGAGGGAAAGAUGAAAAGAACUUUGAAAAGAGAGUUAAACAGUACGUGAAAUUGUCAAAAGGGAAGCGUUUGACACCAGUGUUGUUUUUCUGAAAAUCAAUUAAAGAACUGUUUAUGCUAAGCUGUUUAGACUUUAUCAGCUAUACUGUUUAGUUUUGAGCUUUUCUUUAAUGCACUUUUCAGUUAACAAGUCAACAUCAAUUUCUUUUGCUGUAAAAAAGCUUGAGGAAGGUGGCUUGAGAUUCGUCUUAAGUGUUUAUAGCCUCUUGCCUAUGCAGUCGGAGAGAUUGAGGUCUGCAGCGUAGAUCCUUCGGGGCUAAAUGCAUUUGUGCUAAGUUAUAGCAUUUCAUAGACAACUUGUUGACUAUGAUUUGCCUUGUAGCUUACUCGCUUAUGUUAUUUUACCUACGCUUAGGAUGUUGACGAGACUGUCGAUCUC